GUGCGCCUCUGCACGCAGGCGCCGCCGCCGCCCGGGAGCUGACUUUUGGAGGGUUGAGUUGCAGGCGGCGGGCGCAUCCCAGAGAUGGCGGGGCUGAGAGGGAGGGAAAGAGAGGAGGGGGUGGAGAGGGAGGUGCAGCUUUGCACGGAUGGCCUCAGCGGGAGGCACGGAAAUGCUAGCCGAGCCUGCUGGCGUGAAAGCCCCCGGGGCCUGGCACCCCCCAAAACGACCCCCCACCUCUGCCCCUGCCCCCUUACUCGGAUUACCCACGACUGCCCCUUUCUUCCUGAGUCUACCUCACCUUAUUACCUGUGCUGGCGACCUAAAUUCAAAGUAUUUUGUACGUAUAAUUUCUUUUUCUGAUUUUGCUUUUCUACUGCAUGUCUAGGGGGGAGGGGCCAGCCUGUCCAAACUCCUAUCCAUUUGCGAACCUGCCAUAUGGAAGAGGUAUCUAAGGGGCUCAGAAAGAAAUUAGCGCAGCUCUGUAUCCGUAUAAACUGCAUAACUUUAAAACUCCUUGGACUGAAAUAAUAAUAUGGACAUACACGCAUAGGUACAGGAAAUACAGCCAGUCCACAGCCUUUUCAGAUUGCAGCUGACCGGAAGACAGCCUUCCAUUCAUUCAUUCGGACAGCCUCAGUUGAAGAGCCCUGAAAUAAGAAGUUGGGCAAGAAAAGAAAAAAGUCUCUACACUCGCUGAGAAGAGAUAAACCGAUGUACGGGAGGGAACCAGAGAAUCGGAGUUAGCGUCUGUAAUGCAACUCACACGCAGGCGAAAGUCCUCAGUCCCUUGUGGAUUGAAGUCAAAAAGGAAAAACAAAACUGUCCAGAGACUCUCAGGCCUGACCCUUGGGGGAAAGUUUAAUGUUCUCCAUAGAAUCCUGCUUUUCUUCCUGUUUCCCUUUCUGUGUAAGGAUGGGAAGAACCCUCGAGGCCACAGAUGAAGCAAAAACAGAAGAGCCUCCGAAUGUCCGCCCACCUCCAGGUGCUGACUUUGGUCCAACCCCUGGAGGCAGGACUCUCCUACCAAAGGAGCGCCAGGGAAGCCGUCCUGGAGGAAAGUUUUGAACUUUUAAAGACAAGGAAUCAGCUGACCUCGCUGAGUAGGCGGCCAGGGGAGAAGUUUGAUUCACUUUUUGUGCUGUCAGAACACAGAGCCAUGGAGACAUUUCCAUUAAUCUUGUAAAGUGAUCAGUCACUGGAAGGAUUGAAUUGCAUUUCCUGCCCAGAGAUGUGGAGACAGAUGACCUUUGCAGCGGCCCUCAGACCCCCAGUUCACAGCUGGAGAGAGGAUGUGUCAGCAUUUACUUUCCAGUCUCACCCAGCCCUUUGUUCAGAACUCAAACCCUUUGUGCUCAGGCUGCUGGGGGAUUUUGCAGUGGUUGAUGCAGGGUUUUUUUUUUUUCCCUAACCUCCCACUUCUUACAGCUUCUGAGAAACAAACUCUGUUUGGCAGAAGAUGGUAUCUAAGAGCUGCCCCAGAGGGAGAACCAGAAUAGACAUGGGGAAUUUUGUGAAGCCACUUGGCCUUUAGGCAAUAACCAUUGCCCAUUCCUAGGUUUCCUGAACAGUACAGGCUGACCUGGAGGGAGCCACAAGUCCAACAAAUCAUAAUGCCGCAUGUCUAGGUGGCUCUAUUAAAAGAAAGAGAGAAAGCAAGAAAACAAAGCUUUUCUGUGUAUUAUUUCAGUUCAAAGGCUCCGCUAGAACGAAAGCAUUUACAUAAAGGAACACUGUAAUUCUCAAGAUACAAGACGCGGGCCAGUCUGUUUGCUCACCUGGACAAUGGAAGUUGUAGAAACACUCGUCUCAUGGGUACUGUAUGAGCCAGUGUUAGAAAGGGGCUCAUCCAAUGAUGCUAUUUAAAUGAAACUGACGUUCUGGGCACCACAAGCCUACCAUUUUGAUUUCUUCCAAGUUUAAGGUCCAGAGGGAGAGUCACCUGUGAAGGAUGGAGUAGCGGUUUCCCCAGCCAUAGUCCCUCUUAGCCUGACCUCGCUGCUCUAUAUAUUUUGAGUCCUUUGACUGAAUAUUCUUGUCCCCUGCAGGCCUUUGCACCUGCUGAUUCCUCCCCUCUGCGUUUUAUCCUACUAGCCUCUGGCUCUCUAACAUCUGGCUACUAGAAUCUGCUUGGGUAUCUUAUUUCCUGCCACCUUCUAGUGCUAAGCACAUUAUGUUGUCCUGAGGUUUCUCUAGCAGAUAGCAAAAUGCAAGGAUAUUUAAGUCCUAGAAUGGUGGUGUUGCAUUAGAACUCCAUCUUCCAGGUAUUAUUUGAAUCAUUUCAAGGUUAUUUUGAACGCCUAAUACUUAAUUGCUGUGUAAACAGUUGUUACAAUAUAGUUGUGUUUAGGGAAUGAUGACCCGGCAGAAAAGAUACGGUAGAGGAGAAAAAAAAUUUUUGAAAACCUAUUAAGUAUGGAUUUUUUUUUCUCCCAUUGCUAGACAAACUCUACCACUGAGCUAGUUCCCCAACCCUUUUUCUCAUUUUCUUUUGAAACUCAGUCUCCCUAAAUUGUCCAGGCUAGCCUUCAGCUUAUGAGCCUCAUUCUCGGCUGGAAUUACAGACCUAAGGCCCAGCCAGAUGGGACUCCUUGUGUUAUUGUUAUGCUUCUUAUUUUACAUCUUUACUUGCUUUUGUUUUGUGUGCAGAUGCAGCAUGGCACACAUGGAAAUCAGAGGACUCUGAAGGAAGGAGCCGGUUCUCUCGGAUCGGCUCACCGGGCUGGUGGAGGCAUCUUUAUUCGUCGAGUCAUCUUGCACCCCUAGUUUGUUCUUUAUUGUUGUUUUGAGACAGAGCUUCCCUGUAUAGUUCGCUAUGUUGACCAAACUAUCCUUAAACUCAGAAAGAAGCCCUUGCCCUCGGCCUCAUCAAUGGCAGGACUGCAGCAUAAGCUAGCGCCUAACUCCAGAAGGAAUUCUUUGUUUUCUGAGGUUGGAGAUAAAGUGCUUAGCAUGGAUGAGUUCCUGUGUUCAACCCCUGGGACAAACAAACAAACAAACAUACAAACUAAUAAAUAGGGGCAGGAAAAGCGGCUUAGUGGUUAAGAGUGCUUGCCGAGCAAUGAUGAAUUUUGGAUCCUAACACCUACAUAAGCUGAGCCUGAUCUCACACACACCACUACUGUGCAGGGGUAGAGAUAGAACUGUUGCAGCUCACUGACUGCAAACCUAUCAGGAAAACAGGAGCUUCAACUUCAGAGAGAGAAAGACCCUGACUCAAAGGAUGGGGUGAAGAAUAAGGACACCGUAUGCCCUCCUCUGGGCUCAGUGCGUGUGUGCGUCCAAGCAUCUGUACCUAACACACACACAAUAACCACCCAAUCCACAAAUGCUGAACCUGUGGCAGCGGAGAGAAUUGCAUAUUUCUUGUUGCCUCUGCUGUCGCCAGACUGCCUUGAGAUCAGGGAGAUCCUCCCCCAGGUGCUGAGCUUUCUAGUGCUGAGGAUUGAACCUACGGCACAAACCACAGGUUCAACAUGGAUUGAAAUGGUUUUGCACAUGAUGGGCCAGCACCUGGCUGCGUUCCCCAUCCCUGUGUGUCACCUCAGUCUGUUUACUUUAAAGCUCUAGCUCAAAUGGAGCCCACAACCCUCCCAUUCUCCCCAGCGCCCUCACUAUCCUCCUUCCCACAGUGCUUAGCUUCCUCUCCCUGGAAAAAUAGCUUUUGUCGGUGGUGUCAGUGACUUUAACCCUUCCCAAAGCAACAUUAAUUCACAGAUCAACUCAAAAAACCUGAAGUUGAUACGCGCGCACAGCAGCCUUUACAGGAAACCCUCCGUUCCCCUCCCUUCCUUCCCAUGCCACCUAUUUCUGGCAGAGAACAGACUUUCCCCCUAGGGAGGAUGGAAUGCUCUAAAAAGGACAGUUGGCUCUUCUCCCCGACUCCAAGAGAAACUCUGAACUGUCCAAUAUCUGCCUCUUGUUAUGAGUAAAAAUUCCUUGCAGAAACAGA
Molecule: non-coding RNA, 3952 nt
Organism: Myodes glareolus (Bank vole)
Lineage: Eukaryota; Metazoa; Chordata; Mammalia; Rodentia; Cricetidae
Source: RefSeq, a predicted model, not a curated record